AUUGAACGCUGGCGGCAGGCCUAACACAUGCAAGUCGAACGAGUGGCGGACGGGUGAGUAAUGUCUGGGAAACUGCCUGAUGGAGGGGGAUAACUACUGGAAACGGUAGCUAAUACCGCAUACCAUCAGAUGUGCCCAGAUGGGAUUAGCUAGUGGGUGGGGUAACGGCUCCCCAAGGCGACGAUCCCUAGCUGGUCUGAGAGGGUGACCGUCCACACUGGAACUGAGACACGGUCCAGACUCCUACGGGAGGCAGCAGUAGGGAAUAUUGCGCAAUGGGCGCAAGCCUGAUGCAGCCAUGCCGCGUGAGUGAAGAAGGUCUUCGGAUUGUAAAGUACUUUUAGCAGGGAAGCGUUACCUGCUGAGAAAGCAACGGCUAACUCCGUGCCAGCAGCCGCGGUAAUAC
RNAcentral lists this ribosomal RNA (406 nucleotides) under uncultured bacterium. RNAcentral's name for it is "partial 16S ribosomal RNA". It matches the Rfam family "Bacterial small subunit ribosomal RNA", at positions 30 to 526 of the family's 1533-position model. The record is from RNAcentral.